AUUGAACGCUGGCGGCAGGCCUAACACAUGCAAGUCGAGCGGAUGAAGGGAGCUUGCUCCUGGAUUCAUCGGCGGCCGGGUGAGUAAUGCCUAGAAAUCUGCCUGGUAGUGCGGGAUAACGUCCGGAAACGGGCGCUAAUACCGCAUACGUCCUGAGGGAGAAAGUGGGUGAUCUUCCGAUCUCACGCUAUCAGAUGAGCCUGGUUCGGAUUAGCUAGUUGGGGGGGUAACGGCCUACCAAGGCGACUCGCCGAAACUGGUCUUAGGGGAUGAUCAGUAACAGGGGAAAGGGGAAAAGCACCCAACCCGGACGGGAGAAACAGUGGGGAAUAUUGGACGAGGGGCGAGAGCCUGAUCCAGCCAUGCCGCGGGAGUGAAGAAGGUCUUCUGAUGGGAAAGCAAUUUAAGUUGGGAGGAAGGACAGUAAGUUAAUACCUUGCUGUUUUGACGUUACCAACAGAAUAAGCACCGGCUAACUUCGUG
Molecule: ribosomal RNA, 483 nt
Filed under: uncultured bacterium
Lineage: Bacteria
Description: partial 16S ribosomal RNA
Rfam family: Bacterial small subunit ribosomal RNA
Source: RNAcentral